AACCAAGUGUGCCAGUGGCUACAGGCGUAAAUAAACCGGACUUAAAACUACCGGUAAGCGCAGAAUUCAACCAGUCAUCACUUACACUCAUAUGUAUGUGACGUCACAAUAAGGGUGAGUAAACCAGCUAUCUAGUGCUGCGUUUGUUCACUGUCUUACUAAAUGUACUCGGUGUACAUAGAUUAUACAGUUAAGAAAGCAUGAAUAGCUUGCUUACUACCGGUAUUUUCAAACGAUGUAAGUCUAUCAAAUAACGGCAUUGUUUAAACAAGUAACUGUACAGUCAUUUAUAUUUUGCCAGUUUUAUUAAACAGCAUUGUAGUAACAUUAGGCAUUAUUUGCCAGAACAAAAAUGAAGAAAUACGCUAAGAAAAUAUACACUGUAAUGUUACUGACAGUUUUUGCGCUUGGUGCUUGCAACUGCUUCAACUUAAGAAACUUUAAUUUAAUAGAAAGUAGUACAGCAGGUUUUCAGAAUGGGACCUACUUUGGACAGACAGUUAUUGUAAAAGCUAGUGCGAAUGGAACUGCCAAGUUGCUCAUAGGAGCACCGAAUUCCCGCCGAAACAACUUCGGCAGUUCACAAGGAGUUUUAUAUGGAAUAAAAUUCGCGGUUGCGAGCGGUAUUUAUGAUAUUGUCGCGAAAGACCCGGAAAAAAACGCACCCAUCGUGGUCACUAAUUUACGCAAAGAUGCAGAUGCUAUUGGAAUAAGUGUCAGUAACAGUAAAGAAGCAGUUACGGUGUGUGCUCCUAUGCGUUACAGGCACUGCCGUUCACACAACAUUGUAAGUGGGUCUUGUUUUAACAGUAAAGAUUUCGGCGAAAGUUGGCAAUCUGCAAAACCUACAGUGCCAUUUUGUUCCGACCAAGCACUAGAUCUAUUGUUCGUAUUAGAUGGCUCUUUCUCGGUGGGAGAAACGAACUUCGGUUUGGUAAAAAACUGGGUAGUAGCUCUUGCGAAAUCGUUUGACAUUGAGAAACAGGACAAUAUUGGAAUUAUUCAAUAUUCACAUUGGUAUCCCGGAGUCCCGUAUAGUCAACAGCCGUAUAUGAAAACAGAAGUUCCUUUGGGUUUGUACAAGAACUUCACAUUAUUUGAGAAAAUAGCUCAAAAUAUCAGCCUGCAAGGUUUCACCACCUACACUGCUCAUGCUCUUAAUAAAACUGUGCUUGAUUUCAUGGCAAGUGAAAGAUUCAUGCAUGAAAAUGUCACGAAAGUUAUGAUCUUGAUCACUGAUGGCAGGGCCGAUGAUGCGAUUGAUCUCUACUCAUCUGCCGAGUAUGUAAGAAGCCAAGGCAUUAUUACAUUUGCGAUCGGUAUUGGAAAUAGCGUAUUACGAGACCAGCUGCAGAUAGUUGCGAAUGGCAAGUUGGGUGAAGACACUCGUGUGUUUGAAGUAACGACGUUCACAAGUUUAAACAGCAUAUUAAGCUUACUUCGUUCUUCUAUUAAACAAAGUCUGGAAGGGGGUGAUAGUUUAAGCCAGUUAGAAUACGGAGAAAAUGGAUUUUCAAGUAACCAGCAAGCGGUACGGGCAUUGCUUUUAUACUAAAUUUUCUGUUUAUUUUAUUUUUUUAAUUUCCUUUGAAUUCGUUUUGUUCGUCAAAAAAGUAAACUGAAUCAAGUACAUAGAACAUCGCCGCCAUUGCUUUCAAUUUGUGACUUGCAAUCACAACAACUUGCAGUUCUGGAAUUGCAACCAACCGGUAACGGGUUCCAUGCUCGAUGAUGCAGAAUUUGUGGCGCGUAUGUCCUUGUGCGAGCUAUUUAAUGAAAAUUGCAUUGUAUAUUAGUCCAAAUUUCAGCCAUACCAAAACAAGUAAAAAAUAAGUGACCUAAAAAGUUACAAAGUGGUAACUCGCUAAUAGUUAUUUUAAUCCAAUUUUGUUAAAAUUUAAAAAAAGGUUAAAAAUACUUUGGUCACGUUUAAGCCACGUAUGUUUACCCCAUCUAUGCAGGUAUAUGCUUAUUGCGCACAUGGUAAGGAAAAUACACGACCAGUCAUAUCCCGUUGGUCAAACCGACCAGCACAUGGUACAUUACCUAAUAUGGCAGUUGAUGACAAACACUACUAUUACGUACAAUACGUAACCUGCAUAUUAUUUUGUUGCAGGAUAUGACGUGGCUUUUACACAAUUGCAAAGUGACGUCAUGGCGAGCUAUAAAUAGCUUUUCAGCAUUAUCAUAUAGUAUAGUAUAGUAUA
This is a non-coding RNA of Ciona intestinalis (vase tunicate), 2207 nucleotides long. Lineage: Eukaryota; Metazoa; Chordata; Ascidiacea; Phlebobranchia; Cionidae. The record is from RefSeq and is a predicted model, not a curated record.